Molecule: non-coding RNA, 19 nt
Filed under: Arabidopsis thaliana (thale cress)
Lineage: Eukaryota; Viridiplantae; Streptophyta; Magnoliopsida; Brassicales; Brassicaceae
Source: RNAcentral
ACCGCACGUCGCGUGGUGU